CAAUGAUGAGUAGCCGGCCUGAGAGGUAAUCGCCACACUGGGACUGGAACACGGCCCAGACUCUACGGAGGCAGCAGUGGGAAUAUUGCGCAAUGGACGAAAGUCUGACGCAGCGACGCCGCGUGAGGGAUGAAGGCUUCGGGUUGUAAACCUCUGUCAGGAGGGAAGAACCGCCAUGGUAGUAACUGCCCAUGGUCUGACGGUACCUCCAAAGGAAGCACCGGCUAACUCCGUGCCAGCAGCCGCGGUAAUACGGAGGGUGCAAGCGUUAAUCGGAAUCACUGGGCGUAAAGCGCGCGUAGGCGGCUUUGUAAGUCAGAGGUGAAAGCCCACGGCUCAACCGUGGAACUGCCUUUGAUACUGCAAGGCUACGAGUUUGUGAGAGGAUAGUGGAAUUCCUGGUGUAGGAGUGAAAUCCGUAGAGAUCAGGAGGAACAUCAGUGGCGAAGGCGACUAUCUGGCACAACACUGACGCUGAGGUGCGAAAGCGUGGGUAUCAAACAGGAUUAGAUACCCUGGUAGUCCACGCUGUAAACGAUGAUUACUAGGUGCUGGGGGCUUGUCUUCGGUGCCGUAGCUAACGCAUUAAGUAAUCCGCCUGGGGAGUACGGUCGCAAGGCUGAAACUCAAAGAAAUUGACGGGG
This 644-nucleotide ribosomal RNA is filed under the name Desulfovibrio sp. STL3. RNAcentral describes it as "bacterial SSU rRNA". It matches the Rfam family "Bacterial small subunit ribosomal RNA", at positions 274 to 918 of the family's 1533-position model. The record is from RNAcentral. Lineage: Bacteria; Pseudomonadati; Thermodesulfobacteriota; Desulfovibrionia; Desulfovibrionales; Desulfovibrionaceae.